UUUAUUACAUGAUACUCACGGCAGGACCAGCAAAUCCAUUGGGACCAGCGGGACCAACUUCACCACGUUCACCCUAGGGCUACCACGAGGACCAGCGGGACCAGCAGGACCAGCAGCACCAGCUUCACCCUAUGAUGGGGCCAAAGAUGAGCUUGUUAAUGUGCCAAACACAAAUGCUCACAGAGUUGGAAGGAGAGGGAUGCCAGCAGCACCCCUCUCUCCGGGGAGUCCACCAGGACCAGAGGCACCAGCACUGCCCGGAGCACCAACGGA
Molecule: long non-coding RNA, 273 nt
Organism: Myotis brandtii (Brandt's bat)
Lineage: Eukaryota; Metazoa; Chordata; Mammalia; Chiroptera; Vespertilionidae
Exons: 3
Source: RefSeq, a predicted model, not a curated record